Molecule: unclassified non-coding RNA, 341 nt
Filed under: soil metagenome
Description: partial contains 5.8S ribosomal RNA, internal transcribed spacer 2, and large subunit ribosomal RNA
Rfam family: 5.8S ribosomal RNA (bases 1-120)
Source: RNAcentral
GAUGAAGAACGUAGCGAAAUGCGAUAAGUAGUGUGAAUUGCAGAAUUCAGUGAAUCAUCGAAUCUUUGAACGCACAUUGCGCCCUUUGGUAUUCCAAAGGGCAUGCCUGUUCGAGCGUCAUUUGUACCCUCAAGCUUUGCUUGGUGUUGGGCGUCUUGUCUCUAGCUUUGCUGGAGACUCGCCUUAAAGUAAUUGGCAGCCGGCCUACUGGUUUCGGAGCGCACCACAAGUCGCACUCUCUAUCAGCAAAGGUCUAGCAUCCAUUAAGCCUUUUUUUCAACUUUUGACCUCGGAUCAGGUAGGGAUACCCGCUGAACUUAAGCAUAUCAAUAAGCGGAGGA